CCUACGGGAGGCAGCAGUGGGGAAUUUUGGACAAUGGGCGCAAGCCUGAUCCAGCCAUGCCGCGUGUGGGAAGAAGGCCUUCGGGUUGUAAACCACUUUUGUCAGGGAAGAAACGGCUUUUUCUAAUACAGAGAGCUAAUGACGGUACCUGAAGAAUAAGCACCGGCUAACUACGUGCCAGCAGCCGCGGUAAUACGUAGGGUGCAAGCGUUAAUCGGAAUUACUGGGCGUAAAGCGUGCGCAGGCGGCUUUGCAAGACAGAUGUGAAAUCCCCGGGCUCAACCUGGGAACUGCAUUUGUGACUGCAUGGCUAGAGUACGGUAGAGGGGGAUGGAAUUCCGCGUGUAGCAGUGAAAUGCGUAGAUAUGCGGAGGAACACCGAUGGCGAAGGCAAUCCCCUGGACCUGUACUGACGCUCAUGCACGAAAGCGUGGGGAGCAAACAGGAUUAGAUACCCUGGUAGUCCACGCCCUAAACGAUGUCAACUGGUUGUUGGACGGCUUGCUGUUCAGUAACGAAGCUAACGCGUGAAGUUGACCGCCUGGGGAGUACGGCCGCAAGGUUGAAACUUAAAGGAAUUGACGG
Molecule: ribosomal RNA, 585 nt
Filed under: uncultured bacterium
Lineage: Bacteria
Description: bacterial SSU rRNA
Rfam family: Bacterial small subunit ribosomal RNA
Source: RNAcentral